AUUGAACGCUGGCGGCAUGCCUUACACAUGCAAGUCGAGCGGCAGCGCGGGGGCAACCCUGGCGGCGAGCGGCGAACGGGUGAGUAAUGCAUCGGAACGUGUCCUUUUGUGGGGAGUAACCAGUCGAAAGACUGGCUAAUACCGCAUGAGCUCGAGAGAGGAAAGCAGGGGACCGCAAGGCCUUGCGCGAGAGGAGCGGCCGAUGCCCGAUUAGCAGUUGGUGAGGUAACGGCUCACCAAGGCGACGAUCGGUAGCUGGUUUGAGAGAACGACCAGCCACACUGGGACU
RNAcentral lists this ribosomal RNA (289 nucleotides) under uncultured bacterium. RNAcentral describes it as "partial 16S ribosomal RNA". It matches the Rfam family "Bacterial small subunit ribosomal RNA", at positions 29 to 320 of the family's 1533-position model. The record is from RNAcentral.